This 385-nucleotide ribosomal RNA is filed under the name uncultured bacterium. RNAcentral's name for it is "bacterial SSU rRNA". It matches the Rfam family "Bacterial small subunit ribosomal RNA", at positions 790 to 1167 of the family's 1533-position model. The record is from RNAcentral.
GUAGUCCACGCCCUAAACGAUGCACACUAGACGGAUGCGGCUCUGACGCCGUAUCGGUCGAAGAGAAAUUGAUAAGUGUGCCGCCUGGGGAGUACGGUCGCAAGGCUAAAACUCAAAGGAAUUGACGGGGGCUCACACAAGCGGUGGAGCAUGUUGCUUAAUUCGAAGCAACGCGAAGAACCUUACCUGGGUUUGACAUGCACGGAUUAGUUGGUGGAAACAUCAAUGAGGCCCGCAAGGGUACAACGUGCACAGGUGCUGCAUGGCUGUCGUCAGCUCGUGCUGUGAAGUGUUUGGUUAAGUCCAUUAACGAGCGCAACCCCUGUCGUUAGUUGCUAACGCGUCAUGGCGAGGACUCUAACGAGACUGCCGGCGUCAAGCCGGA